This 380-nucleotide ribosomal RNA is filed under the name uncultured marine Chaetocerotaceae. Its description in RNAcentral is "SSU rRNA". It matches the Rfam family "Eukaryotic small subunit ribosomal RNA", at positions 587 to 972 of the family's 1831-position model. Lineage: Eukaryota; Bacillariophyta; Thalassiosirophyceae; Chaetocerotales; Chaetocerotaceae. The record is from RNAcentral.
AGCUCCAAUAGCGUAUAUUAAAGUUGUUGCAGUUAAAAAGCUCGUAGUUGCAUUUCCGAGGCAAGGGAUUAGUCCGACCUUUGGUGGGUAUUUAAUCCUCUUGCCUCGUCCUUGAGUGGUGCUUCUUGGUAUUAAGUUAUCGAGGAGAUAGCCGCUCAUCGUUUACUGUGAGAAAAUUAGAGUGUUCAAAGCAGGCUUAUGCCGUUGAAUAUAUUAGCAUGGAAUAAUAAGAUAGGACCUCGGUACUAUUUUGUUGGUUUGAGAACCAAGGUAAUGAUGAAUAGGGACAGUUGGGGUAUUCGUAUUCAGUUGUCAGAGGUGAAAUUCUUAGAUUUACGGAAGACGAACUACUGCGAAAGCAUUUACCAAGGAUGUUUUCA